RNAcentral lists this ribosomal RNA (478 nucleotides) under uncultured organism. RNAcentral's name for it is "bacterial SSU rRNA". It matches the Rfam family "Bacterial small subunit ribosomal RNA", at positions 28 to 507 of the family's 1533-position model. The record is from RNAcentral.
GAUGAACGCUAGCGGCAGGCUUAACACAUGCAAGUCGAGGGGUAGAGCACUUCGGUGCUUGAGACCGGCGCACGGGUGCGUAACGCGUAUGCAAUCUACCUUUUACAGAGGGAUAGCCCAGAGAAAUUUGGAUUAAUACCUCAUAGUAUAGUAUAAUCGCAUGAUUUAACUAUUAAAGUCACAACGGUAAAAGAUGAGCAUGCGUCCCAUUAGCUAGUUGGUAAGGUAACGGCUUACCAAGGCAACGAUGGGUAGGGGUCCUGAGAGGGAGAUCCCCCACACUGGUACUGAGACACGGACCAGACUCCUACGGGAGGCAGCAGUGAGGAAUAUUGGACAAUGGGCGCAAGCCUGAUCCAGCCAUGCCGCGUGCAGGAUGACGGUCCUAUGGAUUGUAAACUGCUUUUGUACGGGAAGAAACAACUCUACGUGUAGAGUCUUGACGGUACCGUAAGAAUAAGGAUCGGCUAACUCCGUG